UAAGCAGGAGUGGCCUUCGGUUCCGGCAGAGAUGCCGGAUGAAAAGGGAACGCGGUGCAAACCCGCGGCUGCCCCCGCAACUGUAAGCGGCGAGAGACGGCGACUAAGCCACUGGAAUCCUUCCGGGAAGGCCGCCCGAUCGUAGACCCGCAAGCCAGGAGACCUGCCAAGGUGAUCACCCUUUC
Molecule: non-coding RNA, 185 nt
Filed under: Rhodobacter sp.
Lineage: Bacteria; Pseudomonadati; Pseudomonadota; Alphaproteobacteria; Rhodobacterales
Also listed under: 1 other name
Source: RNAcentral